GGUGGCUCAGUGGUAGAGUGCUUGUCUUGCAUGCAUGAGGCCAGGGGUUUGAUUCCUCAGCACCA
This 65-nucleotide transfer RNA is filed under the name Dipodomys ordii (Ord's kangaroo rat). It matches the Rfam family "tRNA". From Rfam's summary of the family: Transfer RNA (tRNA) molecules are approximately 80 nucleotides in length. Their secondary structure includes four short double-helical elements and three loops (D, anti-codon, and T loops). Lineage: Eukaryota; Metazoa; Chordata; Mammalia; Rodentia; Heteromyidae. The record is from Rfam by way of RNAcentral.